GUCGUGGUGGUGUAGUGGUAUCACACCUGGUUAAGUUUGGGCACGUGGUUCUUUCGCUUAGCGUGGUCCCGAUAAAUCAGGAGGUCGCAGGUUCAAUCCCUGUCCACGGCU
This 111-nucleotide transfer RNA is filed under the name Aureobasidium pullulans. RNAcentral's name for it is "tRNA-Leu". It matches the Rfam family "tRNA". Rfam says of the family: Transfer RNA (tRNA) molecules are approximately 80 nucleotides in length. Their secondary structure includes four short double-helical elements and three loops (D, anti-codon, and T loops). Further hydrogen bonds mediate the characteristic L-shaped molecular structure. tRNAs have two regions of fundamental functional importance: the anti-codon, which is responsible for specific mRNA codon recognition, and the 3' end, to which the tRNAs corresponding amino acid is attached (by aminoacyl-tRNA synthetases). tRNAs cope with the degeneracy of the genetic code in two manners: having more than one tRNA (with a specific anti-codon) for a particular amino acid; and 'wobble' base-pairing, i.e. permitting non-standard base-pairing at the 3rd anti-codon position. The record is from RNAcentral. Lineage: Eukaryota; Fungi; Ascomycota; Dothideomycetes; Dothideales; Saccotheciaceae. RNAcentral also lists the same sequence under 1 other name.